GGGUUGUGAGGUUAAGCGACUAAGCGUACACGGUGGAUGCCCUGGCAGUCAGAGGCGAUGAAGGACGUGCUAAUCUGCGAAAAGCGACGGUAAGGUGAUAUGAACCGCUACAGCCGUCGAUGUCCGAAUGGGGAAACCCAGUGUGUUUCGACACACUAUCGUUAACUGAAUACAUAGGUUAACGAGGCGAACCGGGGGAACUGAAACAUCUAAGUACCCCGAGGAAAAGAAAUCAACCGAGAUUCCCCCAGUAGCGGCGAGCGAACGGGGAGCAGCCCAGGACCUGAAUCAGCUUGUGCAUCAGUGGAAGCGUCUGGAAAGUCGCGCGAUACCGGGUGACAGCCCCGUACACGAAGAUGCAUAAGUUGUGAGUCCGACGAGUAGGGCGGGACACGUGGUAUCCUGUCUGAACAUGGGGGGACCAUCCUCCAAGGCUAAAUACUCCUGACUGACCGAUAGUGAACCAGUACCGUGAGGGAAAGGCGAAAAGAACCCCGGCGAGGGGAGUGAAACAGAACCUGAAACCGUGUACGUACAAGCAGUGGGAGCACCUUCGGGUGUGACUGCGUACCUUUUGUAUAAUGGGUCAGCGACUUAUAUUCUGUAGCAAGGUUAACCGCAUAGGGGAGCCGAAGGGAAACCGAGUCUUAAUUGGGCGUUAAGUUGCAGGGUAUAGACCCGAAACCCGGUGAUCUAGCCAUGGGCAGGUUGAAGGUUGGGUAACACUAACUGGAGGACCGAACCGACUAAUGUUGAAAAAUUAGCGGAUGACUUGUGGCUGGGGGUGAAAGGCCAAUCAAACCGGGAGAUAGCUGGUUCUCCCCGAAAGCUAUUUAGGUAGCGCCUCGUGAACUCAUCUCCGGGGGUAGAGCACUGUUUCGGCUAGGGGGCCAUCCCGGCUUACCAACCCGAUGCAAACUGCGAAUACCGGAGAAUGUUAUCACGGGAGACACACGGCGGGUGCUAACGUCCGUCGUGAAGAGGGAAACAACCCAGACCGCCAGCUAAGGUCCCAAAGUCAUGGUUAAGUGGGAAACGAUGUGGGAAGGCACAGACAGCCAGGAUGUUGGCUUAGAAGCAGCCAUCAUUUAAAGAAAGCGUAAUAGCUCACUGGUCGAGUCGGCCUGCGCGGAAGAUGUAACGGGGCUAAACCAUGCACCGAAGCUGCGGCAGCGACGCCUAUGUGUUGUUGGGUAGGGGAGCGUUCUGUAAGCCGCUGAAGGUGUGCUGUGAGGCACGCUGGAGGUAUCAGAAGUGCGAAUGCUGACAUAAGUAACGAUAAAGCGGGUGAAAAGCCCGCUCGCCGGAAGACCAAGGGUUCCUGUCCAACGUUAAUCGGGGCAGGGUGAGUCGACCCCUAAGGCGAGGCUGAAAAGCGUAGUCGAUGGGAAACAGGUUAAUAUUCCUGUACUUGGUGUUACUGCGAAGGGGGGACGGAGAAGGCUAGGUUAUCCGGGCGACGGUUGUCCCGGUUUAAGCGUGCAGGUGUGAAGACCAGGCAAAUCCGGUCUUCUUUAACACUGAGGCGUGAUGACGAGCCGCUACGGCGGUGAAGUAACUGAUGCCCUGCUUCCAGGAAAAGCCUCUAAGCUCCAGGUAACACGAAAUCGUACCCCAAACCGACACAGGUGGUCAGGUAGAGAAUACCAAGGCGCUUGAGAGAACUCGGGUGAAGGAACUAGGCAAAAUGGUGCCGUAACUUCGGGAGAAGGCACGCUGGCGCGUAGGUGAAGGGACUUGCUCCCGGAGCCGAAGCCAGUCGAAGAUACCAGCUGGCUGCAACUGUUUAUUAAAAACACAGCACUGUGCAAACACGAAAGUGGACGUAUACGGUGUGACGCCUGCCCGGUGCCGGAAGGUUAAUUGAUGGGGUUAUCCGCAAGGAGAAGCUCUUGAUCGAAGCCCCGGUAAACGGCGGCCGUAACUAUAACGGUCCUAAGGUAGCGAAAUUCCUUGUCGGGUAAGUUCCGACCUGCACGAAUGGCGUAAUGAUGGCCAGGCUGUCUCCACCCGAGACUCAGUGAAAUUGAAAUCGCUGUGAAGAUGCAGUGUACCCGCGGCAAGACGGAAAGACCCCGUGAACCUUUACUAUAGCUUGACACUGAACAUUGAGCCUUGAUGUGUAGGAUAGGUGGGAGGCUUUGAAGCGUGGACGCCAGUCUGCGUGGAGCCAACCUUGAAAUACCACCCUUUAAUGUUUGAUGUUCUAACGUAGGCCCGUGAUCCGGGCUGCGGACAGUGUCUGGUGGGUAGUUUGACUGGGGCGGUCUCCUCCCAAAGCGUAACGGAGGAGCACGAAGGUUGGCUAAUCCUGGUCGGACAUCAGGAGGUUAGUGCAAUGGCAUAAGCCAGCUUGACUGCGAGAGUGACGGCUCGAGCAGGUGCGAAAGCAGGUCAUAGUGAUCCGGUGGUUCUGAAUGGAAGGGCCAUCGCUCAACGGAUAAAAGGUACUCCGGGGAUAACAGGCUGAUACCGCCCAAGAGUUCAUAUCGACGGCGGUGUUUGGCACCUCGAUGUCGGCUCAUCACAUCCUGGGGCUGAAGUAGGUCCCAAGGGUACGGCUGUUCGCCGUUUAAAGUGGUACGCGAGCUGGGUUUAGAACGUCGUGAGACAGUUCGGUCCCUAUCUGCCGUGGGCGCUGGAGAAUUGAGGGGGGUUGCUCCUAGUACGAGAGGACCGGAGUGAACGCACCGCUGGUGUUCGGGUUGUCAUGCCAAUGGCACUGCCCGGUAGCUAAGUGCGGAAGAGAUAAGUGCUGAAAGCAUCUAAGCACGAAACUUGCCCCGAGAUGAGUUCUCCCUGACCCUUUAAGGGUCCUGAAGGGACGUUGAAGACGACGACGUUGAUAGGCCGGGUGUGUAAGCGCAGCGAUGCGUUGAGCUAACCGGUACUAAUGACCCGUGAGGCUUAACCUUACAACGCCAGAGGCGUUUUG
RNAcentral lists this ribosomal RNA (2935 nucleotides) under Pantoea dispersa. RNAcentral's name for it is "23S ribosomal RNA". It matches the Rfam family "Bacterial large subunit ribosomal RNA". Lineage: Bacteria; Pseudomonadati; Pseudomonadota; Gammaproteobacteria; Enterobacterales; Erwiniaceae. The record is from RNAcentral.